AUGGCGGUCUAUUGAUCUUCUCAAGUAACCUACUGAAGACUAAUUUUACAGGUAUACAAGCAACUGUGGUUGGCCUAGAUGUCUCAGGUUUGAUAAGCCCAUCCAUUUGACUAGUACUGGUAUAAUGUAAGGGCUUACUUCUGAAAUUCUGUUGAACAGCAAUUGAAGACAGGGUUCUUGUUUUUUGGUUAGAUGAUAAGCAUGCUUUCUUAGCCAGCUUUCUUGGGAAUUUCCUAUCCAUUGAAGGCCGAGAAAUGUGGGGAAGGCUCUUCCGUACCAAGCUUGCCUUGUGACUGAAACUCCCUACACUAGACUUCCUAAAUGGCGACCGUCCUUCUUGAUCUAUGAAUGGAGGAUCCUCAGCAUCGUCAGCACCCAAUACUAAUGAUAAAUGAGGGCGUGGGACCCUAAAGUUGGUCCUUCGAGCAGUCCUCCAAGCUGGUGGAAGUGAAGUAUUUCCAUCAUGUUCAACUGCUUCAUUGCCAUGAUAAUCACUUGUAGAAAUAAGAGUUUCUGAUGAACCAUCUU
Molecule: unclassified non-coding RNA, 528 nt
Filed under: Hevea brasiliensis (rubber tree)
Lineage: Eukaryota; Viridiplantae; Streptophyta; Magnoliopsida; Malpighiales; Euphorbiaceae
Source: RNAcentral